CACGUAGGCGGACUUUUAAGUCAGGGUGAAAUCCCGGGGCUCAAUCCCGGAACGGCCUUUGAUACUGGCAGUCUGGAGUCCGGAAGAGGUGAGUGGAAUUGCGAGUGUAGAGGUGAAAUUCGUAGAUAUUCGCAGGAACACCAGUGGCGAAGGCGGCUCACUGGUCCGGUACUGACGCUGAGGUGCGAAAGCGUGGGGAAGCAAACA
RNAcentral lists this ribosomal RNA (207 nucleotides) under uncultured bacterium. RNAcentral describes it as "partial 16S ribosomal RNA". It matches the Rfam family "Bacterial small subunit ribosomal RNA", at positions 568 to 774 of the family's 1533-position model. The record is from RNAcentral.